RNAcentral lists this unclassified non-coding RNA (244 nucleotides) under plant metagenome. RNAcentral describes it as "partial contains small subunit ribosomal RNA and internal transcribed spacer 1". The stretch from base 1 to 46 matches the Rfam family "Eukaryotic small subunit ribosomal RNA", at positions 1786 to 1831 of the family's 1831-position model. The record is from RNAcentral.
AAGUCGUAACAAGGUUUCCGUAGGUGAACCUGCGGAAGGAUCAUUAAAAAUCCAAAAUCCUUUGCCCAAGGCUUCGGUCUUGUGGUAGAGUUUUUAACCAAUUGUGAGCCAAAAACCUUUCAGCUUCGGUAACUGGCUGGUUGGGUGUCAAAACCCGAUCACGCCGUCAGUCUACCGGUAGCACCCAAAUUAAACUGUUUGAAUAAAUUUUGUCUGAUACCAAAUUUUCGAAUGAAAAUUAAAA